UCAGCAUUGUCUGCAGGGGGGAGGGGUCCUGAUCGGCUGACUGUGGAUCACCGGCUCCAGGAAGGGGGUGCCUCGUGGACAUCUCGGUGUCCCCCACACCCUGCACUUCACAGACACACACCCUCUUCCCGGCGCCAGGACAAAUCCCACUCAGAGAUGUGUCCCCGUGGGGUUAAAACGACACGAGGCCCUCAUACCAGGGAGCUCCGCCACCGCAUCCCCAGGAUUGGACACAUACAUGAAAAGUCCCACGGUCCCUGCCACCAACCCUCGAGACAGACAGCAGGCUCCAGCCCCUCUCUUAUCCCAGGCUCAGCAGUUCUGGAUACUUCUUGGGUAGCAGCACUGUCCAGGGACGAGAUGAUGCAUCCUGAAGCAGACAGGCAGGGCCAGGAUGUCCUGGCGCCUGUGUCCUCAGCCUGUGGUCCGGUGACCUCCCCAGCCUGUAAAGCCGAGUCACGUCUGAGAAGGAACUUGGUUUUCUCUCAUUUGGAUAUUCAUUGGCCAGACAUGUGUCCACACUGCAGCCGGCAGGGUCCCUGCCUCAGGUGUUGCAACUUCACGCAUUAAUGAGGCAAAUAUUAACCAAAUGCCUCCCACACUAUGUAUUAGACGCCAGGAAGACAUCAGUGAACAAAACAGAUUUUGAAUUUCCCUUUCUUCAUGGGACUUACGUUCUCAUGGUGUGGGGUGAGGUACAGGAAAGAAGCAAUCAGUAGCUAGGUUGCGAGGUAUCUUAAAUGAUAAAUGACGUGGAAGUUAGUAGGAUCUGCAGGGUGGGGUGCUGCAGGGUGGAGGGGGCAGGGAAUUUCACCUUAACUAGGGAGCUCCAGGAAGGCUCAUGGAGAAGGUGCCACCAGAGCUGAUAUAGGAGGUGAGCAUCAGGAAAGGAACAUUCUGGUCAGGGGGAACAGCCAGGACAGAGAGUGACACCUUGGCCACCACCUGGUGUGUUUGAGGAACAAGGGGACCCGUGGCAUGAGACCGGUGAGUCAGGGAAGUAGUAAUUAGGGAGACCAGCAGGCCAGGUGUGGAGUCGUCCUGGCAAGUGAUAACGGGAGGAGAGUGGCUCCAAACCAGCUGGUGAUAAGGGCUGGCUUUCGUUUGGGUCCUUGAAGCCCUUAUAGUUUAGGAAUGUCUUCUUUAAGGAAAAAAUAAAAUAAAAUUACAAAUACGAAAUUAAAGCACGGGGUUUUGGAAAGGCAAGCAAGGGACCCUGAAGCUUGGACUCCUUAGCUUCCUGCUGAUGAAGCAGAGGACGUGGGGCCUGGGCUUGGGAUCACCCCAGAGCAUCCCACUCACCCCAAGCUAGCAUCCCUCCCACCCCCCUUUCCUCCCCUACAGUGCUGCCCUUCUGUGACUUUUUUCCCAUUCCAGACUUACUGGCCUUCCAUGUCAACCAGAGAUUGCCUACAUAGAAAUCGGGACGGAGAGGAGUCGAGUCCACAGCGUGUCCCAGCCUGGCCAGCCCACAGGGACAACACCAACAGUGAGGGAAGAGAAAUCAGGAGGACAAGGCAUACACCCGGAAAGGAGGCUGGGGGUCCCCCUCCAGGCCCCCCACUGUGAGCUUUCGGGGUGGCAGGGAGGGGCCGGGCCCCACAGACCCGAGCGUGGGACUCUCUUGAGCUGGCUGCAUGAGCCCCACCCCAGGGGCCCAGAGUCUGCUUUGGAAAGCUGGAAGGGGCCGGGGGGCCGAGUGGAGCAGGCCGGAGAGGUAAGGGCAGGCAUUAUGUACAGUCCUCACUACCUUACCAGAGGCAGGGAAGCAGCGUGCAGACCAACAGCCUUUCUUACUUCCACAAGAUGUGGCUGCUGAGGGGCCUCGUAUGCCUUGCUUUCUUCCCCCUUUCUUCUUCCUUCUCUUCCUCCCUCCCUCCUACUUUCUCCAUCACUCUUUUCUCUCUCUUUUGCUCCUGGGAAAGGAUGCCAUCUAAAAGUAGCCAGUGUGUGUACAUUUUUUCCAAUUAAAAAAUCUCGUAAUAAAGUUGCUAGCUGCUAUUUCUGUCAAGGUGGAGACAUUUUUUUCUUUUAAUUUUUUUAAUGUUUAUUUAUUUUUGAGAGAUAGAGCACGAGCAGGGGAGGGGCAGAGA
Felis catus (domestic cat) is the source of this 2093-nucleotide long non-coding RNA. RefSeq lists it as uncharacterized. Lineage: Eukaryota; Metazoa; Chordata; Mammalia; Carnivora; Felidae. The transcript has 3 exons. The record is from RefSeq and is a predicted model, not a curated record.